CCUACGGGAGGCUGCAGUGGGGAAUAUUGGGCAAUGGGCGCAAGCCUGACCCAGCAACGCCGCGUGAAGGAAGAAGGCUUUCGGGUUGUACACUUCUUUUCUCAGGGACGAAGAAAGUGACGGUACCUGAGGAAUAAGCCACGGCUAACUACGUGCCAGCCGCCGCGGUAAUACGUAGGUGGCAAGCGUUAUCCGGAUUUAUUGGGUGUAAGGGGCGUGUAGGCGGGAGCGCAAGUCAGAUGUAAAAACUCAGGGCUCAACCCUGAGCCUGCAUUUGAAACUGUGUUUCUUGGGUGCUGGGGAGGCAAUCGGAAGUCCGGGGGAGGCGGGGAAAGGCGU
RNAcentral lists this ribosomal RNA (339 nucleotides) under uncultured bacterium. RNAcentral describes it as "partial 16S ribosomal RNA". It matches the Rfam family "Bacterial small subunit ribosomal RNA", at positions 338 to 691 of the family's 1533-position model. The record is from RNAcentral.